UACGAAGGGGGCUAGCGUUGUUCGGAUUUACUGGGCGUAAGCGCACGUAGGCGGAUCGUUAAGUGAGGGGUGAAAUCCCAGGGCUCAACCCUGGGACUGCCUUUCAUACUGGCGAUCUCGAGUCCGGAAGAGGUGAGUGGAACUCCUAGUGUAGAGGUGGAAUUCGUAGAUAUUAGGAAGAACACCAGUGGCGAAGGCGGCUCACUGGUCCGGUACUGACGCUGAGAUGCGAAAGCGUGGGGAGCAAACA
Molecule: ribosomal RNA, 250 nt
Filed under: uncultured bacterium
Lineage: Bacteria
Description: partial 16S ribosomal RNA
Rfam family: Bacterial small subunit ribosomal RNA
Source: RNAcentral